RNAcentral lists this ribosomal RNA (433 nucleotides) under uncultured bacterium. Its description in RNAcentral is "partial 16S ribosomal RNA". It matches the Rfam family "Bacterial small subunit ribosomal RNA", at positions 29 to 507 of the family's 1533-position model. The record is from RNAcentral.
AGCGAACGCUGGCGGCAGGCCUAACACAUGCAAGUCGAACGAACCUUUCGGGGUGAGCGGCGGACGGGUGAGUAACGCGUGGGAACGUGCCCUUCUCUGCGGAAUAGCCUCGGGAAACUGAGAGUAAUACCGCAUACGCCCUUUGGGGGAAAGAUUUAUCGGAGAAGGAUCGGCCCGCGUUGGAUUAGGUAGUUGGUGGGGUAAUGGCCCACCAAGCCGACGAUCCAUAGCUGGUUUGAGAGGAUGAUCAGCCACACUGGGACUGAGACACGGCCCAGACUCCUACGGGAGGCAGCAGUGGGGAAUCUUAGACAAUGGGGGCAACCCUGAUCUAGCCAUGCCGCGUGAGUGAUGAAGGCCUUAGGGUUGUAAAGCUCUUUCAGCUGGGAAGAUAAUGACGGUACCAGCAGAAGAAGCCCCGGCUAACUCCGUG